This 372-nucleotide ribosomal RNA is filed under the name uncultured organism. RNAcentral's name for it is "bacterial SSU rRNA". It matches the Rfam family "Bacterial small subunit ribosomal RNA", at positions 527 to 896 of the family's 1533-position model. The record is from RNAcentral.
CGAGGGUGCAAGCGUUGUUCGGAAUCACUGGGCGUAAAGCGCGCGCAGGCGGGACUUGCAAGUCGGGAGUGAAAUCUCGGGGCUCAACUCCGAGGCUGCUACCGAAACUGCGGACCUGGAGACCGGUAGAGGUGGUGGAAUUCCCGGUGUAGCGGUGGAAUGCGUAGAGAUCGGGAAGAACACCUGUGGCGAAGGCGGCCCACUGGGCCGGUUCUGACGCUGAGGCGCGAAAGCGUGGGGAGCAAACAGGAUUAGAUACCCUGGUAGUCCACGCCGUAAACGAUGGGCACUAGGUGCCGGGGGGGAACGACCCCUUCGGUGCCGCAGCUAACGCGUUAAGUGCCCCGCCUGGGGAGUACGGCCGCAAGGCUG